This is a long non-coding RNA of Notechis scutatus (mainland tiger snake), 5532 nucleotides long. RefSeq lists it as uncharacterized. NCBI's taxonomy places the organism in Eukaryota, Metazoa, Chordata, Lepidosauria, Squamata, Elapidae. The record is from RefSeq and is a predicted model, not a curated record.
GCCAUUCUUUUUAUUAUAACUUUUACAACAGGACAAACUAUAUACUUCUACUCCAGCACUGAAAUUGAGCAAUGAGGUUCGUUCUGUGUGAUAAAAGUACUCCUUGCAUAAGCCACUAUUUGCUGGUAUUGCACUUCCGUUGUCUUUGUAGAUUAAAAUGUUGAAUGGAGUGUUGCUUUUGUGGGAUAUUGAAGUUUGGCAUUCAUAGCAGGCCACUAACUUUGUCAGAGUAAAUAUACACAGAUUUAGCUGGCCAGAUAUACUCAAUUUGUAAGAGCUAUGUAUGUACACAGACUGACUGAACACGGAAUUUAAGCUUCGAAAAAUACACAAACCUUGUGCAAAAUUGAACCAUAUGUGGAAGACCAAAGUGACUUUGCAGCAACAUAGGUGUCCCCAGCAUCUGAUCCUAGUUCAAUCCCAGUUUAGAAGAAUAAAUGUUAUAGAUUUUAGGGCAAAUGAUAGAAAUUGGGUUUUUUUGUUCUCACAUUUUAGUGUUAAUGCUUCACAAAUGUAAAAUACAGGUAGAUCUCAUUUAGCAACUACCUCAAGAUUAUGAAGAUGAUGACAAAGUAAUUGUCAGACACAUUUGCCAUUAUAGUCAGUACAUGCCCUGUGCUUGAGUUUCUCAUCACCACUAACCCCACUUAAAACAAGUGAUCUUUUCUUGAACUUUCUAUCACAGUGUUUUCUUCUCAAAAAUGCUACCAGCAAGUUCAGAUGCCAAGAUCUGUGAUUUUAAUUAGCCAGUUUUCAGCUGCUACCUGCAACUGAUAAGUAUUUAGUUACUUUCACACAUUUGGCUUUUGUUGUCUCCUAUGCUGCUGGGGGCUCAAAGCCACAAGUAAGCUAGGCAAAUAGCUGGUGCUGGUGUACUUCUUUCCAUGUGUAUUUUUCAUUGUGUACCUGCUUACUCUCUUGUAAUCCCUUCCUCUCCAAUAAAUGUAAAUACAAACAUUAAUUCCCUUCUUGCUAAUUAUCCCAGCCUCACACCUUUGGGCGAGUAUUCCAAAAGAGAAAAGGGAAACUGAACAACAAUCACGGGCACAGUCACAAUCAUGUAGUGCUGAGACGACAAUCCCAAUUAUGAUGUCUUUUAAACAAGGACUACCUAUAGUCCAAGAUAGGGAAUAAUUUAAGAUCUGCAGAUAGGCAAGCAGUUGUGUAUUAUGUGUGCCAGACAGUCAUGCCCCAUUUCUUCUCCUAUACAUCCUGUGAAUGCAAGCACAUAGACCUAAACCUUCCAUUUAAUUUUCAGAGUGGCUUGUUACAAAAGCUGAGCAGAACAUCGUGCCUAACCGAAAAGGUAUUACACAAAUUGUUGACAUUUCAUUUGCUAGCCAAAUGACGGCAAGAUUGUAUUUACUGUCUAGGUUAGCUUGCUAAAUGAUGUAACAUUUGUAACCUGUGACUGGGGUGAAGAAGCAGAAGGUAUACAGUGCAGAACAAAAUGUGCUUUGAAAUAUGAAUCUGUCUUGUGUUAGCAGCUUCACCAGAACCAUUCCCAUUUGUGUACAAUAUUUCAGCAUCUGAAUGUGUGCUGCUAAACUGUGGAUGAUUUCCACAGAAAACUACUGUGAGUUCCUUGAAUUCUGACCGAUAAUAAAUCAUUUGUGACAGCUUUCAGAUGUUCAAGUCAUCAUACAUGUAAGUGUGAAAUGCCAAACCAGUUCCUUUUUUAACCUUUUAGGUAUAUAACUGCAUGUUUUUCUUUUAAUUUCAUUAUUCACUCGGUCACUUUGCCCUAAAAGAAAGUAACAUAUCCUGAAAUUUAAUUGCCAAUAAAAUAUUGCAAUUUUUAUUUAAAACAAAAUGCAAAUUGGCAAAAAUCUCUGGAACAGGCAGAGGCAAUGCCUCCAAGGGCCUUACUUACAUCAAGUUAACACUGUUUGCAGUUCACAGUCAGGAAAUAGUGAAAAUUUAAAUUAGAAAAAAACCAAAUAUAUUACAAACAACAACAAAAAACAAAGUAACAUUUGACAACACUAGUAGUGUGGGUUUUUCUGUGUCAGUCGCACAUUUCAGUUUCACCCAUUUUAAUCCUCAGUGAAUUCAACUAACAGAGUGCUGGGUUGAUUAAAAUCCUUAGCCAUCCCCCCCCCUCCCCCGCCCUCCGGAAAGCUACCUCUUACACAUCAUACAACGUUGGCCAUUUUUGCCGUAGGCAACUUCAGAGAAAUUACACAUUCCUAAUAUGCCACUUUUCUGGAUUAGAGGAAAAGGCCACAUUUUCACAUCAAGAGUUGUACUUGGACCAACUGUGCACAGGCAACUCUUAAUACAGUACUGUGAAUGGAAAAUAGAAAGUGGUGUCUGAUCAUGGUCAUUGCUUUAGUCAUUUCAGCAUUUCCUAAGUCUGUAUUUUAAAACAAGCACGCCAUCCAUUAAGAAGCAGAAAAGGGGGCUAGCCAAUAGUCUAUUUGCUUGAAAGAAAGACUAGAUGUUUCCAAGUUAAUUUUUAAGAUAGGGGCUCAUCAUAUAUCAAUAGGAGACUGAGCAAUGAGUAAUUGAGAAGGACUACUUCUCUUUAAUCUUUUGUGGAGAGGGGUCAUCUUAAAUGAAGGCUCAUUUCCUUUCAGUUAAAUAUAGUUCCAAGAUCCAUGCAGUCUAAAAUUGGGAUGUCCAGUAGCUGCUUGGGAAAACUUCUAGCGAAUGAGCAAAAUCAGUCAAUAAAAACCUUUCCUAGAUUGCACUGAGAUGAGGGAAAAGGGGUUGCGCUUCCAUUCAGGUCAAAAAUAAGAGGGAAAGAAAUGAAGCAUGUGACAAAGUUUUGUAAAUUGAUGGCAAUUUUUAAGCAAUACUUAAAUUCUGAAAUAAUACAAAGAUUGGACAAGCUUUAAUAUGUAAAACAUGUAUGAAAUGUAUCUUCAUAAUUUAGCAAUAAUUUUUUUUCACAAGGUGGAAAGCAAAAACUUUUCCCUCUUGUUUUUGGCAAAAAAAAAAAAAAAAGGGACUUUGAACAAGAAGGAUUUGAGAGCAUUAUUUAGCCAGCUUUGAAGACAAUGACCAAACAAUAAUCUGUUUUUAAUCUGUGUUUUCCAUGUUUAGAGUUCUGAUGCUAUAUACUUCUAAAAUAGAAAUUUUAGACUUCGCAUCUCUACUCAUAUAGCGUCAUAAUAUGCUAUUCAGCAGAACAACUUCCUUAGAGAAUGAAUGUUUUAUCUUCAAUUCUGCUUUAAGACCAGAGAAUCAACAAAAAUGUUGUUGAAAGUGUUAAUUUUCAAUGCAGAGCUUCAGGUAAGCCUACAAUUCUUUUGGUUAUUGACUCCCUAAAAACUGUCCUGUGAAAUUUCAGCAGCAAACCACUAAAAAAACAGAGGAGCAAUGAGAAAAUCAAACAAUAAAAAUCUGUAGGUUUAUAUUUUUUAAAAAAAACCUGCAUGACACAACUACCUUAGAAAUCCUACCUCUAACAGCUUGCAAAUUGUUCCUGCAACAUUAUUCCAUUCACAGGAGCCCUUAGUUCCCCAAAAUUAGAACCAUUUUUUGAGCAUCUAAUAUUCCUUACUCAGGGGAAAAAUAAUUUUUCACUAUUUUGCAAAUCCAUGUGCUCAGGAAAUUCCUGUUUGUUCAAGACCGCUCAUGGAUUUUAGUUUGAGAUGAAUUUGCUGGAGAAGCCUGAUAUUUUGUACUAUAUUUUGAAUUAACUGGAGUUUGCCAAUCAAUCUACAGUACUACAAUUAUUAUUUUAAAAAAAAACAUGAUAGUACAAGCACACUGCUCUAGAAUUUCUGCUAUUAGGAGCACAGUAAUGUUAUUUUUGAAUGAAUUGUAUAUAAUACCAAAACGCUAUUUCACAUUAUGGGACUGAUUCGGUUCUUACAGUUUCAAGGCAACCUGGGAACAUUUUGAAUUGAGCAAGGAACCAAUAGAACACAAACUAUUCCAUCAACUAAAACCAGAGUUCUCUCAUAAGAUUCCAUUAACUAUUAACAUCACCCCUUUGCCCCAAAUAGGCUGUAGAAACUUCUAUCAAAGGUGCAAAUUAACAGAUAAUGCAUUCCUGCCAUGUUUAGAACUACAGUUUAGACUUACUCAGCUUCAAGAACAGCAUAUACAAUAUACCGUUCUGCCCCUCAUAUCUUCACUGUAGCAAGGUAACCAAUGAAAGAAGACACGAAGCAGAGAUUUAUAACAACAAAAGUAAUAAAGGCAAAGUUUAUGCAUUAUUGUCUGAAAAGAAAUUAUGGCAUUCUUGAGCAAAAGAGAACAUCUUCCUAUCAUUAUCAAGAAAGAUCAAAAUGGUAAUCUGAAACUCAUGCAAAAACCAGAAAAAAUUCUCUGCAUAUCCAAGGUACAGUACAAUCUCAAACAGCCUUCAUUCAAAUCUUAGGUUGGAUUAUACUAAGAUGUAUGACAGCUGAAAUUCAACUAUUGAUUCUGGAAGGUACCAGUUUGGGGCAAUGGCUUUAAAGCUUUCAGUGCCUAGCAGAUAUUAUUCAGAGUCCCCUAAUGAUCCCUUGAUUAGUUUCCAUCCCAUACCCACACACAUUACACUUAUCUCUUUUUAAGGGGUGAUUUCUUCUAUUCACUCUCCCAAAUUUUGGAUAUGUUCAUCAUUAUACCGAAAAUUCAACAAAGAAGCAUGGGCCAAGAACUGUAAGUUUUGAUGAAUUGCAUUGUUUUCACUUGAUGAACUUAAUGCGUAGCCUAGUACAGUCUGGCCUAUGAAGCAAAAGUGAUUCUUUUCAUUUUUUUCACUAGCAUAUAUUGUGUACAGAUUCAGUGAUAAUUUCGUAUUUACACAAUCACUAAAAGGUUCACCAUAAAAAUCAAUAAACAUGCAAUGUUUUAAACUUUCAAUACUUAAACAUGACCAAUUAAAAAAUUAAAAGGUACAUGAAAUUUGGCCCUAAAUGAAUUUAGAUUAAUGCUUCUAAUUGAUGAAAAUAAGAUACUAACAAUGGUGCAGUGGCAGGUAGAACUGCUGGAAAAGCUAAUGAGAAAAUGUGCCCAAGGAAACCCUAACAGAACAGUAAACAAAGGAGAAAAAAUUUAGCAGAAACCAAUGUGUCUGCAAAAAUAACUUAAGAAAGAUCCAAUGAUAAAAAGGGCACAUAUAUAGGAGUUUUGAAAGGGGGAAGAUCACCAAGAUUUGCAGAUUACCUGGAUUUGUAGAGAUGGCAUAAUGAAAACUAAAACUCAGAAUGAGCCAAAGUUAAACAAACAAUCCUAAGAAUCUACCAAAAGGAGGUUCAACAUAUGCGUACAGCUACAAUGUGUCAGCUGGUCAAUGAAAACAGUGAAGGCUGCUUGAUUCUUAUUCAGUCUUGUCCAAAGAGGGCAUACAUCCUACUGAGCAAUUAUGAAGAACAGAUUGUUUAUAUUUCACCUAGCUAAGGAACAGUUGUUAAAGGAGUUCACACUCUUAGUUGACAGGUGAGACAGGGCAAGAAAAACCUAGAGUCAAGUCCAACUUUGGCCUCAUUGGUGGCUUUGGACCAGUCUUUUAUUAGCCCCCCUUUUUCUCACAGAGCUGUUAUGAAGAAAAGCAAAGUAGGGUGUUCUAUAUAUUCCUUCUUGAGCUCUUGU